AUAGAAAUCCAAAUGAAAAUAUUUGUAUCAUCCAAAAGUCCAGCAGAUCCGAGCAGGCUCGCGUUCUUCGCUACUGCUAUGACAGUGUUCGACGUUGUGUGCGUGUUGUGGCUUUUCAUAUCCCUCGGAAACUUCGUUUCAUUGAAUUCCUCUGCCAUAUCACCUCGAGAGGCUUCCUGCCCUAAAUGAACAUAACACAAUGUAUAAACGAACAUAAUACAAUUUCUAAUUGAACAGAUAUAUUCAAAUUUACUGGACGCAUGCAUAUCCCAAAAAAUCCAAACUUAUCAUUCAAUUUGAUGAAAAGAAAAUAACAGUGCAGAUUAGGGCCAAAGACUAGACAAUGGAGCUGGAACAAAUUUAUAAAAUAAAAUAGAAGAAUAGAAAGAUAAGGUGUGUUUCUUCCUCCUACUCUCACAAUAAUUCCUCAUUCUCGAAUUUCAUGGCGGAUCGGGAAUUAUGCAUUUUGUCGAUUGACCCCUGCAAAAGACUAGAUUUUGCAUUCUAAAUUUAUUCAACAAAUCAGAGUCGAUUUCGCGGCCAAACCCUCAAACCCCGAUCGACGAAGGUCACCUCCUCCAAGUCUGCACAAUCCUCUAAAUGAACAAGAUACUCCCUCUGUCCACGAAAAAGUGCCCUACUUACCCCUUUUUUUUGUCCACGCAAAAGUGUCCUGUUUACCUUUUUGUACAUUCAUACCAUUUACUUUUCAAUUUAUUUACAACUUAUGUCAUUAAUAAAUCCACACUUUUAUUUAAUCUAUGCAAUUAACACACACAAUUAACUCACUAAUUAAAACUACGAAACCAACUCCCCCACGCCUAAUCAAUCUCAUUUCCCCCAAAAUUAAAUUAUUCUUUCUCUGAACUCAAACAAGUGGAAGAAAUACACACAAACCCUCCCAAUUGUAUCUCUAAUUGUAUCUAUAGCCCGAUUUAAUGGCUUUUGGGCUAUGUGUGUUUGUUGAUUAGCUCAAUGGAAUAAUAAAUAUGUUCUGAAAAUUAACUCCACUUCACGUGUGAAUUCCGCACUACAAGAAAUUGAGUUUUUACCCACACAUAAUUACCCACACAUAAUAAUGUGUUGUAGUUUAGCCACACAUAAUUUCAAAAUGUGUAGGUGAUUCACACAAAAAAAUUUCAUUAGUUAUUGACAUUUAAAAUGUGUGGCAAAAAUUAUUUUCGUGACUAUUUAUUAUUUUACGGUUUAUUUUUAUGUAUAAUAAAAUUUAUUUUUAAAUUUGUUGUGCCAACGUGGCAAACUAGUAAAAGUUAUUAACCACACAUAAUUCUAAAUUAUCUAUGUGUGGGUAAUGAAUUUUUAUCAUUAUUUAUUCUUGACAUGUAAGAAACGUGAGAAAAUAUUUUUAGCUACAUUUAUAUUUUGGCUUUAAUCAAUUAUUUAUGCAAAUCUUAAUUGAUGUUUUACCCACACAUAAUUACCCACACACCUAUUUUGAAAAAUGUUAGGUGAAACAAUUUGAAACAUUCAAUUAGUUAUUGACAUUUAAAAUGUGUAACAGAAAAUUUAUUUGUAACAUUUAUUAUAUGGCGGUGAUUCUUUUUUAAGUUUUAUUUUAUUUAAUGAAGUUUAUUUUUAUAUUUGGUGUGCACCUCUAUUAAUUUUUUUAAACCACACAUAAUCUAUGUGUGGAUAAUAAUUUUUAUAUUUAUAUUUUGACAAAUUAAAGUAAAUUUAAUUUUAUUUUUAUAUAUUAGUGCCAACUAAUCAAUUGAUUUCUCUACAAUUAUACAAUAAAAUAAAAAUUAAAUAGUCUUUAACAUUAAAAUAGGCAUAAAAAAACAAGAAUGAAUAUGUUAAAAAAUAAAACACAAGAAUUAAAAUAGGCAUAAAAAUUAAAUACUAGUCUUUAACAUUAAAAUCGAACUCAAUAAAGAAUAGAAUUGUUUAAACUCUCAACAACUAAAAGACAAGAAAAUAUUAACAAACUAAUCAAUGUCAUUAGAACUACCCCUAUUGUAAUUUUUACCCCACUCAAAACAACUUUAUCAGUUUUCUUAGUACCCGUGCCGACACCCAAAUGGGGCACUUUUUCGUGGACGUAGGGAGUAUAAUUUUUAAUGAACAUAAUACAAUUUCUUAAUGAACAGAAAGGACAUCUAAUUAUUCAUUGAAGAGGAUUCUCCCAAUUUUCUCAAAUUCCAAAUCUUAAAUUUUAGGAAAUAGACAUCUAAUACAAUUCCAAAUUUUGUUCAUAGACCCAUCAAAAACUUCAGCUGUCAAAACAUGGAUGAGCACAACAUCUAAAGGAAACAGAUAGCACAUCAAGCCAAUUACUUUACUUCUCGCAAUCAGUUUUAUUCUACACAUUUACAAGAUGAAGAAUUUAAUGAUUUCAAAAAUCCAACCAAAACAAAUUUCGAACAUGAUUACAAAAACCCAACUAAAAAUUUCGAUCUUGUUUUGGAAAACCCAAAAAAAUUAAUCGAUUCAAAGCCCAUGAAAUCCAAAAAUAAAUUCGAAUAGAAAAAUCAGAAUAGAAAUCGCAUUACCUGUUUUAUUUCAGCCCAAACCUCGUCUUCAACGUCGAGAUUUGCAUAGAAAGAGGCUAGUGAUUUUGCAGAGAAGGUGAGAGACGGCUGUGAGGUUGAGAGAGAGAGAGAGAGGUGAACGUGAGGAGGGAUUUUAGGACUUGCAGUUUUUAACCCAAAAUGU
This 2676-nucleotide long non-coding RNA is filed under the name Salvia miltiorrhiza (redroot sage). RNAcentral's name for it is "long non-coding RNA (SMIL_LNC005974)". Lineage: Eukaryota; Viridiplantae; Streptophyta; Magnoliopsida; Lamiales; Lamiaceae. The record is from RNAcentral.